This 808-nucleotide ribosomal RNA is filed under the name Methanothermococcus okinawensis. RNAcentral describes it as "partial 23S ribosomal RNA". It matches the Rfam family "Archaeal large subunit ribosomal RNA", at positions 2182 to 2975 of the family's 2987-position model. Lineage: Archaea; Methanobacteriati; Methanobacteriota; Methanococci; Methanococcales; Methanococcaceae. The record is from RNAcentral.
UGCAGCCUGCCGUUGGGGCAUGGUUGUGGGUGUACAGUGUAGGUGGGAGCCGUCGAAGCCUCCUCGCUAGGGGAGGUGGAGGCGCCCAUGGGACACCACCCUCCCAUGACCAUGUCCCUUACCCCAGAGAGGGGACACCGGUAGGUGGGCAGUUUGGCUGGGGCGGCACCCUCCUAAAAAUGCAUCAGGAGGGCCCAAUGGUCGGCUCAAGCGGGUCAGGACUCCGCUGUUGAGUGUAAGGGCAAAAGCCGGCCUGACUUGGUUGCCCAAAAUACGCAACCAAGAGGCGAAAGCCGGGCCUAACGAACCCCUGUGCCUCACCGAUGGGGGCCAGGGAUGACAGAAAAGCUACCCCGGGGAUAACAGAGUUGUCGCGGGCAAGAGCCCAUAUCGACCCCGCGGCUUGCUACCUCGAUGUCGGUUUUUCCCAUCCUGGAUCUGCAGCAGGAUCCAAGGGUGGGGCUGUUCGCCCAUUAAAGGGGAUCAUGAGCUGGGUUUAGACCGUCGUGAGACAGGUUGGUUGCUAUCUGCUGGAGGUGUUGGCUGCCUGAGGGAAAGGUGGUUCUAGUACGAGAGGAACGAACCGCCGGUGCCUCUAGUCUAUCGGUUGUCCGACAGGGCAUUGCCGAGCAGCCACGCACCAAGGGAUAAGGGCUGAAAGCAUCUAAGCCCGAAACCCGUCCUGAAAAUAGGCAGCCAGUCCCUUCGGGGACAAGGGCUCCCCUAGAAGAGGGGUUUGAUAGGCUAGGGAUGUAAGCACCGAGGGUUCUCCCGAGGUGUUUAGUCCGCUAGUACUAACAGCCCGAGG